RNAcentral lists this ribosomal RNA (500 nucleotides) under Acinetobacter sp. RNAcentral's name for it is "bacterial SSU rRNA". It matches the Rfam family "Bacterial small subunit ribosomal RNA", at positions 88 to 586 of the family's 1533-position model. Lineage: Bacteria; Pseudomonadati; Pseudomonadota; Gammaproteobacteria; Moraxellales; Moraxellaceae. The record is from RNAcentral.
UUUCCUAGCGGCGGACGGGUGAGUAAUGCUUAGGAAUCUGCCUAUAGUGGGGGACAACAUUCCGAAAGGAAUGCUAAUACCGCAUACGCCCUACGGGGGAAAGCAGGGGAUCUUCGACCUUGCGCUAAUAGAUGAGCCUAAGUCAGAUUAGCUAGUUGGUGGGGUAAAGGCCUACCAAGGCGACGAUCUGUAGCGGGUCUGAGAGGAUGAUCCGCCACACUGGGACUGAGACACGGCCCAGACUCCUACGGGAGGCAGCAGUGGGGAAUAUUGGACAAUGGGCGAAAGCCUGAUCCAGCCAUGCCGCUGUGUGAAGAAGGCCUUUUGGUUGUAAAGCACUUUAAGCGAGGAGGAGGCUACUUGGAUUAAUACUCUAGGAUAGUGGACGUUACUCGCAGAAUAAGCACCGGCUAACUCUGUGCCAGCAGCCGCGGUAAUACAGAGGGUGCGAGCGUUAAUCGGAUUUACUGGGCGUAAAGCGUGCGUAGGCGGCUUUUUAA